AUUGAACGCUGGCGGCAGGCCUAACACAUGCAAGUCGAGCGGAUGAAGGGAGCUUGCUCCUGGAUUCAGCGGCGGACGGGUGAGUAAUGCCUAGGAAUCUGCCUGGUAGUGGGGGAUAACGUCCGGUAACGGGCGCUAAUACCGCAUACGUCCUGAUGGAGAAAGUGGGGGAUCUUCGGACCUCACGCUAUCAGAUGAGCCUAGGUCGGAUUAGCUAGUUGGUGGGGUAAAGGCCUACCAAGGCGACGAUCCGUAACUGGUCUGAGAGGAUGAUCAGUCACACUGGAACUGAGACACGGUCCAGACUCCUACGGGAGGCAGCAGUGGGGAAUAUUGGACAAUGGGCGAAAGCCUGAUCCAGCCAUGCCGCGUGUGUGAAGAAGGUCUUCGGAUUGUAAAGCACUUUAAGUUGGGAGGAAGGGCAGUAAGUUAAUACCUUGCUGUUUUGACGUUACCAACAGAAUAAGCACCGGCUAACUUCGUG
This 484-nucleotide ribosomal RNA is filed under the name uncultured bacterium. Its description in RNAcentral is "partial 16S ribosomal RNA". It matches the Rfam family "Bacterial small subunit ribosomal RNA", at positions 30 to 507 of the family's 1533-position model. The record is from RNAcentral.